Molecule: long non-coding RNA, 2012 nt
Filed under: Pogona vitticeps (central bearded dragon)
Lineage: Eukaryota; Metazoa; Chordata; Lepidosauria; Squamata; Agamidae
Description: lncRNA (ENSPVIG00000015837.1)
Source: RNAcentral
UCUCCUCCUAAUGUCUCAAGAGUGAGUUGUUGAGAUUCUAAGUGCCAGUUAAUGAGAAAGAGAGGGGGAGAAAUGGGGGGUGGACUAAUCUGGGGACCUUGAAGCUAUUCUGCUCUGUUCUUGCCUGCACGUCUAGAGGAAUUGAACCAGAAAUUCCAAAACUCUGCAGUAGUUUAAUGAAUAGGGCAGGGAAGCCAUCAACGUGUCUAGUUGUGGCUCUCUCUAAGGUGGGGCAGCCCCCCCCCCGCUUUGGCAUGCUAAGCUAAAUGCCCUUCUGCUUACCUCUUAUCCCUUCCUUAUUUAGAGUAAUAUCAACUCUCCAAGACGGGGCAAAGGAUAGCAUUGACUGCCGGUCGUUUAAAUUAAAGCAUUUCAAGAUUUAGAGCUGGCAUUUAAUGUCCUUUUCCCCCCCUAUAAUUUGAUGCUUUGUCCUCUAGCCGGCCGGGACUCAGGAUGGCCGAGGAAGGCGGCUGUCAGAGGAUGUGGGGCGUUUACGCCGAAGCAGGGAGCAAGAGAAGGUAAGAUUCCCCAAUAGUCUACCCCAGGAUGUGGUCAACCAUUUUUCCCUUGAAGCCUGCUCGACAGCUCAGUUGUUUAUAGGUGUCUGGAUACCGAUCCAGAUGUUCUGAGUUCAAAUCCUCCACUGGGCCUCCUUGACAGGGGCCCGGACUUGGUGAUCCAGAGGGUCCCUUCCAGCAGCGGGUCGGUCCAGAAGCGGAUGACUUCCUGUUUAGCACGGGGAGCGGGAGAGAUAGUGAAUGCGCUCCGUCUUUUACUCCAAACUUUAAAGGAGCAGUCCCAGAGGCUGAACCUAUUUUGUAUUCUCAUCCCAAUUUCUGGAUCAGGGCCUUGCGGGGACAGAGAGGAUGUCCUCUGGCAGCACCCGGCGGAGUGUCAGCUCCUCCCGCUUGGAACAACUGGCCGAAAAACGAGGCUCUGCCACCAGACAGAAAGGCUUGGCCUUUCAGAGCCCCAAAGGCCCGACUACCGAGCGAAGCCCGGAGGAACUGCAGGCCCUCAGGGUGGAAGUACUGACCCUCCGCCGGCGCCUGGAGGCCUCGGAGAGCCAGCGCAAAACCCUCCUGGAGAGCUGUUGGCAACAGCAGAGGACCCGGGCCUGGGUUCAAGAGAGGCAGACGCCCCUGUUGGGGCUGAGAGUGGCAUCGUGGCAGAGGAGAAAAGAGGCUUCCCGCCACCAGGCUGGGAAGAAACCGCAGGCUUUGGAGGGGAGAGAAGUCACAGGAAAGAGAGGAGCGCUCGGGUCCAGAGGGGAGGAGGCGCUGGAGGCUCAAACAGAGCAAGAAGGUCCAGAAGAGGCUGAACCAGAAAUGGGAACGCCUAACACCCCUGCAGGGCGGGCCAAGGCAGAGGCGCCUUGUCUAGCGAAAGCUGAGGAGCUAAACCGGACCCAAGAUGAAGCUCAUGCAGAAGGAAAACCUGAUGAACCUGGGGAGGCCACGGAGGGCUGGCGUGAGACUAUCCGGACUCUAGCCGCCGGCAAAGCCGAAGCGGAAGCCCAAGCCCGCCUGGCCCAGCAGAAGCUCCAAAGCUUGCAGGCCACGUUAGGGCUCCAGACGGAACGGCUGUCUCAAGCCUUAGAGGCCCAAAGCCGCCACGUGGAGGAGUUGGUGGCCGACGCCGAGGGGAAGGAACGACUCGUGGACAGCCUGCGGCGAGAGCUGGAGGACACCAAAAACGCCCUGGACGCGGCCCACGGGGAGACGCAAAGCCUGCGGGCGUUGUUGGAGGAGAAGGAGGAAGAACUGCGUCGCGUUGGCGCCAAAACUGCCCACGGGUUAGCCGGGGAUGGCGAGGCCACGCUCGCCCGAGGCGACAAAGCCGGCAUGGCGCGCAAUGGCCUGGCCACAUGUGCGCAGAAAGAGGGUCAUGAGCAGGCAGAAGUAAGCCUUUUUGCCUGGGAUAUUGGGAAUUUUUUUUAUUUUUAUUUUAAGAACUCUUUCAAGAAAGCAUUUCCAAGCCUUGCGAUGGUAAAGAUGUAUGGCACGGAAUAA